UGGGGAAUAUUGGACAAUGGGCGCAAGCCUGAUCCAGCCAUGCCGCGUGAGUGAUGAAGGCCUUAGGGUUGUAAAGCUCUUUUACCAGGGAAGAUAAUGACGGUACCUGGAGAAUAAGCCCCGGCUAACUUCGUGCCAGCAGCCGCGGUAAUACGAAGGGGGCUAGCGUUGCUCGGAAUCACUGGGCGUAAAGCGCACGUAGGUGGGUCGUUAAGUCAGGGGUGAAAUCCCGGAGCUCAACUCCGGAACUGCCUUUGAUACUGGCGACCUUGGAGUCCGGGAGAGGUGAGUGGAACUGCGAGUGUAGAGGUGAAAUUCGUAGAUAUUCGCAAGAACACCAGUGGCGAAGGCGGCUCACUGGCCCGGUACUGACACUGAGGUGCGAAAGCGUGGGGAGCAAACA
RNAcentral lists this ribosomal RNA (403 nucleotides) under uncultured bacterium. RNAcentral's name for it is "bacterial SSU rRNA". It matches the Rfam family "Bacterial small subunit ribosomal RNA", at positions 355 to 774 of the family's 1533-position model. The record is from RNAcentral.